RNAcentral lists this long non-coding RNA (917 nucleotides) under Homo sapiens (human). Its description in RNAcentral is "HSALNT0386027". Lineage: Eukaryota; Metazoa; Chordata; Mammalia; Primates; Hominidae. The record is from RNAcentral.
UUUAUUGGGAAAGCCCCCAGUGACUUUCCAAUGAAAUGGAUAGAGAAGGGAAAAGAGACCCUUCGGAAUCAGAUGAGUCCAUGAACUGGCAGCAGUCAGGGCAGUGAUGACAUCACAGAAGGAGGAUGGGCCUUAGACAGACAUCACUCUUUAGAAUCCCUGCAACUUUGAGCAAGUUCGUGAAUCUCACUAAGGCUCAGUUUCCUCCAUAAAAUUAAUCAAUAUCAGGGCCUCUGCAUUGGACAACUCCAGAGGGCACCAUUGGGGUUAUACCUUGUGUUUGCCUAACCUUCAUUGCAGUGGGCAGGUGCAUGCUUUCUACAAUGUCCUAAGGUCUAAAGGGGUAGAGUUCUGUGUGUGGCAUUUUAGGCCUGGAAAGGAUGAGAGUCUACAAAACCAGAGAAAUACUGCAGAGCUCCUAAAGUCCUUGGAAUGUCCUAAGUGCCAUUGGUAAGAAGCACACAUGACAACCUGGACUUUCCAUCAACAUUUGAAGCGGGAGCAGUCUUGUGGGAUCAAGCUCUUAACCUGUGGGGUCUGCUACUAACUCUGAGAUCCCAGACCACCACCCAUGAUCCCAGGCUGGAGGAAGCAGCAGGCUAGCGGAAUUCAGGACCAAUGAGCCAGGAAAGAGGACCCAAUGCAGAGCUCACAUCCCACCCUCCUUCCCCCAUGACAAAGCACUGGCAAACCCUGCCAAAGAAGAAGCUUGGCUGCAAAGCAGUCUGGAACUGGACCCGGGAUAGAUUCACCAGGAGCUCACCACCACAGGGAAUGCUGCACUUUGACUGGACAGAAUGCAUCCUCCAUGCCCACAGAGCAUGUGCCCAGGAUGAAUCUCACUGUAUCCCAGUUCCUCAUGCUUGGCCCCAAACCUCUUUUUCACAGUAAUAAAGAAAACACACUUUACAAAAAGG